UUUCUUUCUCUGUCAACCGAACUCUUCUCCCUCUCCAAUGGCUAAACUCAAUUUUCUCCAUUUGCCUAGUUACAAGCCUUGCAUAAGUGUUCAUCUUCCAUAACCAUUCAUUAGAUAAGAAAGAAUAUGUCAAUUCUACACUUCACUCCCUCUUAUCUCACGGACUCUCUCUCUCUCAAAAUCCCAAUCUUCAAAUUGGUUUAAUUCAGAUUGCAUGUGCAAUUAACCUCAUGAUUUGGAGUUUCUGAGUGUUGGAAAUUAAGGUAAGAGUUACAAUCUCUUCUUCUCCUCUCUGACCAUCUCAUUCUUUGUUCUUAGAAAACCUAGAUUUAAUCUUACUAUCUUGUGCUUGCAUGUGAGUUGUUUGGGGUUUGAAGAAAACAGAUUAAGUUUGAAGGGAUUGGAUUGGUAAUUUUGGAGGAAACAAGAAGAAAUGGGAAUUUUGGUAUCAAACCCGUAUUCAAGGACAGACCUGCACUAAAAAGGCAACUGUUCUCUCUCUGUAACUCCGAAUGAGAUACCGUUUAUUUCUAUGGAUAGCUAACUCAAAUACGGUCGUUGUGGUACCGGUUUCAUAAUUUUUGGACGAGCGAUGAGGUCGAUAGACAUUUUUGAAGUUGGAAGCCAGUAGCAGGAAUUGUGCAGAAAAUCUGGAUUUUUGGUGUUUUAUGUGCUACGGGUUUGCAUCUUGAGCGGCCCAAGCGGAUGAUUAUAAGCAUGCGAAACAGUUCGGAAUUGCUAUCAAAUCAGGUGGGUUUCUUUAGAAGCUUUACCUUUAGAUUAGUUAGCACUUUCCCAAAUAAACUAUGCAUGAUAACAAUAGAUAGAUUAGGAAAAUAGUACCCGAAUUAUUAAUGUAUGACAACAUUAGGAAAUUUAGGAUUAUUAUUGAGUGAGAAGGUUUAAAUCCCAAAACUAUCUCCAUUCUGAUGAUAUAAUAUAUUUAUGCUGGAUAUGACUAGAAUAAAAUGGGAUUGUAGGUGGAUAGUUGGUUUUCUCUUUAAAAAUUGCAAAACCGAGUGUUGAACUGGUUUUCUGGCUUAGCGAGCAUUUUGUUUCGCUAAGCGAGCGUAUCAGAUUAGUACUCUGCAGAAUUAAUAUUUUAAAUAAAAAUCCGCUCGUUUUAUAUCCCUAACUAUUCUGGAAUAUUUCGUAAGCAGUGUAAUAAUAUUGUGAUUAGAAUGUUUAUCACGCUCAUGAACUUAGGUUCAGGAAUCAGGACAGUUAGAAUUACCCCAGGAAGGUUUUCUUUCUUUUGGGUAGGAUAACCAUUCAAGAUUAGGAGUUAUGUUUCAGAAUUUAUCAGGAUGUUUGGUCAUUAGUACCAAUAUCAGGAAGCGUGGUCAUUAGUACCAUGUCAGGGGAUUCAUUCAGAAUCCAAAAUCAUGUAAUAAGAAUUGUAAGCUCAUGUUGUAUUCCGACGUACAUUAUUAUCGGUGAUACCAGGCCAGACACUUCGGGACCGGCUUACCCCGGGGUGAUCCUGUGAGGAUAAAACGAACAAGAUAAUUAUUAUGUGUGUUACACCUUUAUUUCUUUAUUAUCAUAUUAUGAAAACUUCAGGAUUAUGUCAGGAUUAGACUAUUAGAUAUUCAGGUUCAGGUUAAUCUUCUUUGUUUUUAUGUUAAUCUGUUAAGUUAGAAUUUAAUUCUCUUCCGCUGUAUUUUACUGGAUUAUCACAUUAUUAUCGUGAUAUUGUAAAAUUCAAGUAAUUAUUCUGUAAUUUUAAUGUACUCAGAUUCAAUUAUAUAUGUCUCGGCUAAAUAUUCUAGACAAUUUAGUUGGGGCGUUACAAUUGGUAUCAGAGCAGGUCGAUUCAGUAUCGGACCUUGUCAUGAGUCAUUACAAUUCAUUCCUAAGUAGUACGGACCCUUUGGAGUCUAGACUGUUUACGCUGAAACCAUUCCGUGCUGAGCCCGUACAACUCAGUAUCGUACAUGGUAGCCAUAGUAUUACGGUUGAGAACCGAAGUGGACCAAGGAGGUCGACUAGUAAGAACAGAGUAGAAGCGCAACUCGGGCGAAAGCAAGAACAAUGAUCUUUGGAAUCUAAUGUUGGAACUGCAACCAACUGACAGUAACAUGUAUAAGGAUGUGGAAAAUUCUGGUAAUGGAAAAUCCAGUAUCAAGUAAGCGUUUACCGAAAGGGAAUCGAGACUGGGUAUAGGAGUAAAAUACCCGGAUGUUAGCAGUAAAUCCAGAGCUGAGUAUAUUGAAAGUUGAAUUGUUACACGGAGGAAUGUAGAUAAACCAUUAUACCAAAGUGUGUAGUACGUGAUAGUAUCCAACUGACACUAUGUGUCGGGUAAACUUUUCUGAACUUAGAAGUAACCACACUCUCUUUUGAACCAAGUAAGACCUAGCAGUCAAUAGACCAAAACUCUUCCUAAAUACUUAACCUUCCAUUACAGCCAAGAAAUUCAUCCAGUGUUGUUAGACCAAUCAACUACUUGUACUAGUGAAACUAAUUAGAACAGAUACUUAUACUAAUAAUAUUUCUGAUGCCGUCUUGUUAGACUAUCCUUUAGAAUGUCAACAUUAAAUGUCCUGAAUAAAAUGAAUUCACCCUCCCAAUUCGUAGCGAGUAAUCAUACCACACCCUUAGAAGCCUAGCCUUAUUUAGUAUAACAAUAAAAAAUUCUCUCUUCACACUACCCGUUAUCUAGUAGGAGCUCACUGAGGCUUAGUAGUCUCAUCCCACGACUUUCAUUUUUUUUUAGGUAAACAGGUUAACCGGAGCAAGGACCAGGCAAGAACUGAUGAUCGAGGUUGAGCUUGAAUUAUCGGAUUAGAAGACUAUCGUCUUCUUCUUUGUUUUUAUGUUAAUCUGUUAAGUUAGAAUUUAAUUCUCUUCCGCUGUAUUUUACUGGAUUAUCACAUUAUUAUCGUGAUAUUGUAAAAUUCAAGUAAUUAUUCUGUAAUUUUAAUGUACUCAUAUUCAAUUAUAUAUGUCUCGGCUAAAUAUUC
RNAcentral lists this long non-coding RNA (2966 nucleotides) under Trifolium pratense (red clover). Its description in RNAcentral is "long non-coding RNA (TPRA_LNC007464)". The record is from RNAcentral. Lineage: Eukaryota; Viridiplantae; Streptophyta; Magnoliopsida; Fabales; Fabaceae.